This 867-nucleotide ribosomal RNA is filed under the name uncultured bacterium. Its description in RNAcentral is "bacterial SSU rRNA". It matches the Rfam family "Bacterial small subunit ribosomal RNA", at positions 8 to 917 of the family's 1533-position model. The record is from RNAcentral.
AGAGUUUGAUCAUGGCUCAGGACGAACGCUGGCGGUGUGCUUCACACAUGCAAGUCGAACGGGAUAGCAAUAUCCAGUGGCGGACGGGUGAGUAACGCGUGGGAAUCUGCCUUUAGAUGGGGGAUAGCAGGCCGAAAGGCCUAUUAAUACCGCAUAUGCCGCAAGGUAAAAGGAGCAAUCCGUCUGAAGAUGAGCCCGCGUCCGAUUAGCUAGUUGGUAGGGUAAAGGCCUACCAAGGCUACGAUCGGUAGGUGGUCUGAGAGGAUGAUCACCCACAAUGGGACUGAGACACGGCCCAUACUCCUACGGGAGGCAGCAGUGGGGAAUUUUGUGCAAUGGGCGAAAGCCUGACACAGCGACACCGCGUGAGCGAAGAAGCCCUUUGGGGUGUAAAGCUCUGUCGUGAGGGACGAAUAAAUGACGGUACCUCAAGAGGAAGCAUCGGCUAACUACGUGCCAGCAGCCGCGGUAAGACGUAGGAUGCAAGCGUUGUCCGGAUUUAUUGGGCGUAAAGAGUUCGUAGGCGGUUUGCUAAGUCUGGUGUUAAAGGCGCGGGCCCAACCCGUGUACUGCACUGGAUACUGGCAGACUCGAGUAUGGUAGAGGUAAGUGGAAUUCCCAGUGUAGCGGUGAAAUGCGUAGAUAUUGGGAAGAACACCGGUGGCGCAAGCGACUUACUGGGCCAUUACUGACGCUGAGGAACGAAAGCUAGGGGAGCGAAUGGGAUUAGAUACCCCAGUAGUCCUAGCCGUAAACGAUGGAUACUAGGCGUAUCGGGUAUCGACCCCUGAUGUGCCGCAGCUAACGCGAUAAGUAUCCCGCCUGAGUAGUACGGCCGCAAGGUUGAAACUCAAAGGAAUUGACGGG